CUGUAAGAAGUGAUCCUGAAAGUGAUCCUGAAAGCAGAAAUGAAGGGACUUCUGUACAGUCUUACAGUGAACAAUCUGAUUCGUGUCAGUCUCCCCAUGAGAUUCUCAAGUCUAUGAGUGACAAAGUCUCACUAUGCUGCUCAGACUGAUAUCAAACUCCUACGCUCAAGCAAUCCUCUCGCCUCCACUUCCCAAAGUGCUGAGAUUACAGGCGUGAGUGAGCCACCUGGCCAGGCCCUACAGCCAAGUGAAAAACUGCAAGCAGCAGAAAAAUUUAUCUAAGAGUUUUAAAAGUCUAAACAUCUCAUUCUUUCGCAAUCCAGAUACCAACAGGAGUCUGAAACCCUUCGCAGAGGCGUGCAACACACUAGGAGAGCGCUAUCUGUUUACAAAUACGAAUCUCAGUUACCCACGUCAAAACCGCGCAUUACCACCUUUCGACUGGGGGGCGGGGGAGAGAGAAGGCGGGCGAGCAAGAAACAAAAUCCACACAGACACCUCUGCCUUCUCCCUACAAGGACGAGCCCGGGGAAACAUUCAGUAUGUAUUAUAUGCGUGUAUACAUUUAUAUACAUUAUGUAGUCACCUAUGUCUAAGCAAGGGUGAAAGAAAAAGGUACACAUGACAGGGAAUCGUAACUGGACCCAACAGAAAUGUUCAAACCAAUCCCGUUAACUCAAAAUCCGCCCCGCUGGUCUACAACAGGUUUCGGUCCGGGACCGGGAGCCCCAGCCACAGUGUGGAGUUCGUCCCCAAAGCGCCCCAAUGCCCUCCUCAGGCCGCCCAGGCCGCCGUCCCCACCUCCCUUAUCUCAGCCUUCCCCUGGGACACCCGAAGCCCGUUCCAGGAAAGAAAGAAGUGUCAGGCCCCCAGGGGGCGGCUGAGACGCUCUCAGGCCAGGCCCCCGACACCUGCGAAGC
This is a long non-coding RNA of Homo sapiens (human), 920 nucleotides long. RefSeq lists it as uncharacterized. The transcript is spliced from 4 exons. The record is from RefSeq and is a predicted model, not a curated record. NCBI's taxonomy places the organism in Eukaryota, Metazoa, Chordata, Mammalia, Primates, Hominidae.